RNAcentral lists this ribosomal RNA (393 nucleotides) under uncultured bacterium. RNAcentral describes it as "partial 16S ribosomal RNA". It matches the Rfam family "Bacterial small subunit ribosomal RNA", at positions 523 to 918 of the family's 1533-position model. The record is from RNAcentral.
AUACGGAGGAUCCGAGCGUUAUCCGGAUUUAUUGGGUUUAAAGGGUGCGCAGGCGGGAGAUUAAGUCGGCGGUGAAAUUUUGCAGCUUAACUGUAAAAGUGCCUUCGAAACUGGGUUCCUUGAGUGUAGAUGAAGUAGGCGGAAUUUGUGGUGUAGCGGUGAAAUGCAUAGAUAUCACGAGGAACUCCGAUUGCGCAGGCAGCUUACUAAACUACUACUGACGCUCAGGCACGAAGGCGUGGGGAUCAAACAGGAUUAGAUACCCUGGUAGUCCACGCAGUAAACGAUGAUUACUCGCUGUUUGCGAUAUACAGUAAGCGGCUUAGCGAAAGCGUUAAGUAAUCCACCUGGGGAGUACGUUCGCAAGAAUGAAACUCAAAGGAAUUGACGGGG